AGCUCGGUGGUGUAAUGGUAGCACACGUUCCCGGUAUGGAUAAAACGCAGGUUUGACUCCCGUCUGAGGCG
Molecule: non-coding RNA, 71 nt
Organism: Parelaphostrongylus tenuis
Lineage: Eukaryota; Metazoa; Nematoda; Chromadorea; Rhabditida; Metastrongylidae
Source: the annotation of a GenBank genome assembly